This 1139-nucleotide long non-coding RNA is filed under the name Bos indicus x Bos taurus (hybrid cattle). RNAcentral describes it as "lncRNA (ENSBIXG00005013195.1)". The record is from RNAcentral. Lineage: Eukaryota; Metazoa; Chordata; Mammalia; Artiodactyla; Bovidae.
UCUCAAUCAUCUUUCCAAAGCAUCUUGCAAAAGAAUCAUUCUUAUCUCUGCUUUGUAGAUGAAGAAACUUGAAGCUGAAAGUUUGUCCAUGGUCUUCUUGGGGAUGCAAACUCAGGUCUACCUUCAGGUGGGUGUUCUUUCUCUCCAUUCUGCUGUUUGGGAUGACUGAAAAUACUAUUCCUACAGCUGCUAAGCAGUGAGCGCAGGCAAGGCACUGGCUUUCUGUGGACCAUAGUCCCUUCAUUUUCAGGUGGAGGUGGUCAUAUCUACCUUCUCUUUUCAUAGAAUUGUUGGAUAUUGCAAAGCAACUGGAAAGCUCUCUUUAGAAGACAACAAAUGUAGAAAGGCUGGUUUCAAGGUCCAACUCCGCUUUGCACAUACUCUCUGCCCAAAUCUGGGAGGUAAUUCUGUGUGGAGGCUGAGAGGACUGGUCUAGGCAAAGGAGGAUGGUGGCCUUCAUCAGAGGGGCAGCUGUGGAACUGAACACAUCUGACAUGCCUUCAGACACCAGGAUGAACAGUACAUUGACCCAUGCAUUCAGCAGCUAAAAUGUGCCAGGGCUGUGAAUUCCUGCAUUUAUCUACUUUUGUUUUCCUGUGUAGACACAAGGCUGCCUGGCCUCCCAGAGAAGGAAUUGCAAGAUUAAUGUUGACAUCAUUGAAGAAAACAUCACAAUUCUGAGACUGAAGUCCAAUAUGAGUUCAUCCUGUGAUGUGGCUGCCAAUGAAAACAACAACAAUGAUGAUAUUGUUUAUUGUUGACAGAGGUGAUUCCGUUGUUCUCCUGGGAUAUCAGCACCCUGGGGGUAAAUUCCUGCAUGUCUAUAGCCUUUGGUCUCAUCUGUAAGGUAGGGGAGCUGGACUUUCUGGGAUGAUCUUUAAGGCCUUCUGGUUCUGAGAGUCAAAAUUGUUGUUUUGAGCUGUUUGGAGUCAACCACAAGUUCUGCCCUCAGCUCUGGGUUCUGCAUUGUGAGUGGGACCAAUUGGCAGCGAUCCAUUGAAGUGGAAGUAGAUGACCAGGUUGGGGAGGGCUCUGAAGCCUUGGCAGAGGAAACUGGGGUGUUGCUUUGGAGGAAGGAUGGGGCUGGGGGUAUAAGAGCCCUGCCUUGAAAGGUCUGUCCUGGGAAGAGGAAGCAGACG